This 433-nucleotide ribosomal RNA is filed under the name uncultured bacterium. RNAcentral describes it as "bacterial SSU rRNA". It matches the Rfam family "Bacterial small subunit ribosomal RNA", at positions 958 to 1392 of the family's 1533-position model. The record is from RNAcentral.
AACGCGAAGAACCUUACCUGGCCUUGACAUCCUGCGAACUUUCUAGAGAUAGAUUGGUGCCUUCGGGAGCGCAGUGACAGGUGCUGCAUGGCCGUCGUCAGCUCGUGUCGUGAGAUGUUGGGUUAAGUCCCGUAACGAGCGCAACCCCUAUCCCUAGUUGCUAGCAGUUCGGCUGAGAACUCUAGGGAGACUGCCGGUGACAAACCGGAGGAAGGUGGGGAUGACGUCAGGUCAUCAUGGCCCUUACGGCCAGGGCUACACACGUGCUACAAUGGCGCGCACAGAGGGCUGCAAACCCGCGAGGGGGAGCUAAUCUCACAAAACGCGUCGUAGUCCGGAUCGCAGUCUGCAACUCGACUGCGUGAAGUCGGAAUCGCUAGUAAUCGCGAAUCAGAAUGUCGCGGUGAAUACGUUCCCGGGUCUGUACACACCG